UACGUAGGGGGCAAGCGUUGUCCGGAUUUAUUGGGCGUAAAGAGCGUGUAGGCGGCCAUACAGGUCAGCUGUGAAAACUCGAGGCUCAACCUCGAGACGUCGGUUGAAACCGUAUGGCUAGAGUCCGGAAGAGGAGAGUGGAAUUCCCGGUGUAGCGGUGAAAUGCGCAGAUAUCGGGAAGAACACCCGUGGCGAAGGCGGCUCACUGGCCCGGUACUGACGCUGAGGUGCGAAAGCGUGGGGAGCGAUCCGG
Molecule: ribosomal RNA, 253 nt
Filed under: uncultured bacterium
Lineage: Bacteria
Description: partial 16S ribosomal RNA
Rfam family: Bacterial small subunit ribosomal RNA
Source: RNAcentral